Molecule: ribosomal RNA, 369 nt
Filed under: uncultured organism
Description: bacterial SSU rRNA
Rfam family: Bacterial small subunit ribosomal RNA
Source: RNAcentral
CGGAGGAUCCAAGCGUUAUCCGGAUUUAUUGGGUUUAAAGGGUGCGUAGGUGGCCUGUUAAGUCAGGGGUGAAAGACGGUAGCUCAACUAUCGCAGUGCCCUUGAUACUGAUGGGCUUGAAUGAACUAGAGGUAGGCGGAAUGUGACAAGUAGCGGUGAAAUGCAUAGAUAUGUCACAGAACACCAAUUGCGAAGGCAGCUUACUAUGGUUUUAUUGACACUGAGGCACGAAAGCGUGGGGAUCAAACAGGAUUAGAUACCCUGGUAGUCCACGCCCUAAACGAUGAAUACUCGAUGUUGGCGAUAUACGGUCAGCGUCUAAGCGAAAGCGUUAAGUAUUCCACCUGGGGAGUACGCCCGCAAGGGUGA